AUUGAACGCUGGCGGCAGGCCUAACACAUGCAAGUCGAGCGGAUGAAGGGAGCUUGCUCCUGGAUUCAGCGGCGGACGGGUGAGUAAUGCCUAGGAAUCUGCCUGGUAGUGGGGGAUAACGUCCGGAAACGGGCGCUAAUACCGCAUACGUCCUGAGGGAGAAAGUGGGGGAUCUUCGGACCUCACGCUAUCAGAUGAGCCUAGGUCGGAUUAGCUAGUUGGUGGGGUAAAGGCCUACCAAGGCGACGAUCCGUAACUGGUCUGAGAGGAUGAUCAGUCACACUGGAACUGAGACACGGUCCAGACUCCUACGGGAGGCAGCAGUGGGGAAUAUUGGACAAUGGGCGAAAGCCUGAUCCAGCCAUGCCGCGUGUGUGAAGAAGGUCUUCGGAUUGUAAAGCACUUUAAGUUGGGAGGAAGGGCAGUAAGUUAAUACCUUGCUGUUUUGACGUUACCAACAAAAUAAGCACCGGCUAACUUCG
RNAcentral lists this ribosomal RNA (482 nucleotides) under uncultured bacterium. Its description in RNAcentral is "partial 16S ribosomal RNA". It matches the Rfam family "Bacterial small subunit ribosomal RNA", at positions 30 to 505 of the family's 1533-position model. The record is from RNAcentral.